This 475-nucleotide ribosomal RNA is filed under the name uncultured bacterium. RNAcentral describes it as "bacterial SSU rRNA". It matches the Rfam family "Bacterial small subunit ribosomal RNA", at positions 33 to 507 of the family's 1533-position model. The record is from RNAcentral.
GAGGACACGCUGGCGGCGUGCCUAACACAUGCAAGUCGAGCGGAGAUGUACUGAAGAUUUAUCGGAUGUACAUCUUAGCGGCGGACGGGUGAGUAACGCGUGGGCAACCUGCCUUUCACUGGGGGAUAACACAGGGAAACCUGUGCUAAUACCGCAUGACAUCACGUAGGGCAUCCUAUGUGAUCAAAGGAGAGAUCCGGUGGAAAGAUGGGCCCGCGUCCAAUUAGCUGGUUGGUGAGGUAAAGGCUCACCAAGGCGACGAUUGGUAGCCGAACUGAGAGGUUGAUCGGCCACAUUGGGACUGAGACACGGCCCAGACUCCUACGGGAGGCAGCAGUGGGGAAUAUUGCGCAAUGGGGGGAACCCUGACGCAGCAACGCCGCGUGAAGGAAGAAGGUCUUCGGAUUGUAAACUUCUUUGAUGAGGGACGAAUAAAGUGACGGUACCUCAAAAACAAGCCACGGCUAACUACGUG